CAUCCAGCGCUUCGCUGCAGCGCGCUCGCGCAGCAAGACGUUUUCCGCCGCGACAUACGCGAUCGAAAGCGCGAUUACCGAUUCCACGAGGCGCGAAGGCAGCGUGACCAGAUCCAGCGCCGCGGCGGCGAGCGUGAUGCUGUGCGCGAUGGUGAAUGCGGUGACGAUCGUAAUCAGGGUCCAGAAGCGCCCGCCAAGCAGCAGCAG
Molecule: unclassified non-coding RNA, 207 nt
Filed under: uncultured fungus
Lineage: Eukaryota; Fungi
Description: sequence contains ITS1
Source: RNAcentral